GACGAACGCUGGCGGCGUGCUUAACACAUGCAAGUCGAACGGGAUUUAGUAAACGGAAGCCUCGGUGGAAGAUUACUAAUGAGAGUGGCGAACGGGUGAGUAACGCGUGAGCAACCUGCCUAUGACAGUGGGAUAGCCUCGGGAAACCGGGAUUAAUACCGCAUAAAAUCGUAGAAACACAUGUUUCAACGGUCAAAGUUUUAUCGGUCAUAGAUGGGCUCGCGUCUGAUUAGCUAGUUGGUGAGAUAACAGCCCACCAAGGCGACGAUCAGUAGCCGGUCUGAGAGGAUGAACGGCCACAUUGGAACUGAGACACGGUCCAAACUCCUACGGGAGGCAGCAGUGGGGAAUAUUGCACAAUGGGGGAAACCCUGAUGCAGCGACGCCGCGUGAACGAAGAAGGUAUUCGUAUCGUAAAGUUCUGUCCUAUGGGAAGAUAAUGACAGUACCAUAGAAGAAAGCUCCGGCUAAAUACGUG
RNAcentral lists this ribosomal RNA (478 nucleotides) under uncultured bacterium. Its description in RNAcentral is "partial 16S ribosomal RNA". It matches the Rfam family "Bacterial small subunit ribosomal RNA", at positions 28 to 507 of the family's 1533-position model. The record is from RNAcentral.